RNAcentral lists this small nuclear RNA (106 nucleotides) under Macaca fascicularis (crab-eating macaque). The record is from RNAcentral. Lineage: Eukaryota; Metazoa; Chordata; Mammalia; Primates; Cercopithecidae.
GUGCCCAUUUUGGCAGCACACAUACUAAGAUUGGAAAGAUACAGAGAAGAUUAGCAUGCCCCUGUGCAAGGAUGACAAGCAAAAGUGAGAAAUUAUUUAAAAAAAU